RNAcentral lists this transfer RNA (85 nucleotides) under Serratia phage 4S. RNAcentral's name for it is "tRNA-Leu". It matches the Rfam family "tRNA". From Rfam's summary of the family: Transfer RNA (tRNA) molecules are approximately 80 nucleotides in length. Their secondary structure includes four short double-helical elements and three loops (D, anti-codon, and T loops). The record is from RNAcentral. Lineage: Duplodnaviria; Heunggongvirae; Uroviricota; Caudoviricetes; Pantevenvirales; Straboviridae.
GCUAGAGUGGUGGAAUGGUAUACACAGGAGACUUAAAAUCUCCCGCCUUUCAGGAUUGUGGGUUCGAGUCCCACCUCUAGUACCA